Molecule: long non-coding RNA, 1155 nt
Organism: Photinus pyralis (common eastern firefly)
Lineage: Eukaryota; Metazoa; Arthropoda; Insecta; Coleoptera; Lampyridae
Exons: 2
Source: RefSeq, a predicted model, not a curated record
AUUGGAUGUUGUAGCAGUACAGAAUUUAAAUUUUUCGUUUUAAAGUAAACAUUAGUAAAAGUUGAAACGACUGGUCAAUUAUUUCGAAUCACCAUGUGUAUACCUAAUUAUUUAAAUAGCGCGCCAUUGUAAAAAGAAAAUGGUUGAAAUAUGUUGGUAAAGUAGAUUGCGAAAAGAAGGUAGAUUAUUAUUAUUGGCGUCCCGAUUUUGGGGUAGCACGCUAGAAAUUGUGCCGGUAAUUCAUUUAAAUUACCAGUUUAAACAGUGAAUCAGUUUAAAUCAAUUACGUACAACAACAUCGCGUAGAUAAAAAAAAGUGUGGUGUUGUAUUGUGGGCGUUCGAUAACGUAAAUUCCAAGGCUAAAGCACGUGGAUGUAACCUGCAGCGAGGAAGCUACUUAAAAUACCACUCUGAAAGCCGAGAUCGUCGAUCAAUACGUGAGCAAGGUAUUUUCCUGUUUUGGCAAAUUUUAUUACCUUCGCAAUUGAACCUGCAUUAUUCCGAGUUCGAGCUACCCAUUUGUUUUGGAGUAUGAUGAGUUGCCUAUCUGCCAGCCGAAGAUCGAACAAAUAAUUAUCGAUAGCGGCUUCGCCGGAGAAGAACAACUGAUUUAUUCAGGUAUGAAGGUUUACAUAAUAAAUUCUGUACAGAAUUUAAUGGCCAAUUAAAAUACAAACGUUAUUUAAACAUCCACCACAAUUAAGUGGAAUCGGAAACGUUUUGCCGCGUUCAUAUUAUCGGACCUUAAUCGUGUUCGUUGUGUUUAUUAUCGGACCAGAUUAUUUACUUGCGUUUGCAUUCGUAGCAUGAAAUUAUUGCUGCGUGAGAUAUCCCGCCUUCGUUGUAAUAGUUGAUAAGGACCGUAUUAUUCAGUUUUACCCGUUAGUGGUAACGCACAUUUAAAUAUUUGCAUUCGUGUUUUAGAUUAUUGUUAUUAUUAGGAGCUUUUGUCGUUUUAUUUAUAGGACAGUAUUACAUCUUGAAAUAUUUUCAUACGAGUUACUUGCUCGUAACGAUUGAGAAUUUACUGUUUGAUUUCCAUUUGUGUACUAAUAAUUUAUGAGUUUUCAUGUUGUAUAGGGUGUUGCAUUAUUGCAUUAUUAUAUGUAGACCAUUCGUUUCCAUUGAAGCAUUAAUAAAUUUUGUAUUUUGUC